UGGGGAAUAUUGGUCAAUGGGCGGGAGCCUGAACCAGCCAAGCCGCGUGAGGGAGGAAGGCCCUAUGGGUCGUAAACCUCUUUUGUCAGGGAACAAAAGCGAGUAUGUAUACUAGUCUGAGUGUACCUGAAGAAAAACGCAUCGGCUAACUCCGUGCCAGCAGCCGCGGUAAUACGGAGGAUGCGAGCGUUAUCCGGAUUUAUUGGGUUUAAAGGGUGCGUAGGCGGCGGUGCAAGUCAGCGGUAAAAGCCCGGGGCUCAACCCCGGCGAGCCGUUGAAACUGCAGUGCUAGAGAAGCGAGAGGUACGCGGAAUGCGCAGUGUAGCGGUGAAAUGCUUAGAUAUUGCGCAGAACUCCGAUUGCGAAGGCAGCGUACUGGCGCCUGACUGACGCUGAGGCACGAAAGCGUGGGGAUCGAACAGGAUUAGAUACCC
Molecule: ribosomal RNA, 434 nt
Filed under: uncultured bacterium
Lineage: Bacteria
Description: bacterial SSU rRNA
Rfam family: Bacterial small subunit ribosomal RNA
Source: RNAcentral